GGGGCCUGUGUGUCCAUGGCUGCCAGCCCUGGUGCCCACCCGCCCUGCCCCCGCUGGGCCCCGCCGCAGCGCCGCUCUUGAGGCCGCGGAGAAGCAGCUGCGGCACCGACGGGUGUUGGCGGCUGCAGUGCAGGGAGCCUGGAGCGAUGCUGCGGCCCGGCGUGUGCUUGUGUGCCCGGAACCUGCGGCGGCUCCUGCCGGCCGGGGCCAGGGCCGGGGCCGGGGCCAGGGCCGAGGGCGGUGAGUGAGGGGGAGCUGCGCCGGGCUGGCCCUGGGCUCCAGGAGUUGUGCUGGAGGGGAGCGUCGGCGGGGAAGCGCUGCUGCUGGGGCGCUGCUGCCACAGGGCCCUGCUCUGCCCUGGGGCCUGGUUGCUAAGGAGGAAGUAAAGGGAUGGCCACACAUGGGCACCGUCCUCACUAGACCAAGGAGAAGGAUGUGAGCACACCCUUGCAUGGAGAGYRUUUUUAAACAAUUUACAGCAAAGCCAAGCUUUCCCCAUUCCUUUCUGAAUURUGAAGAGAAGAUGGAGCUUCCUGGGCGAUCCAACUACUUCCAACCACCCAAGAGUUUGAUAAAGGAGGCCAGAACAACACUCUCACAGAUGGUGAGUGCUCUAAUAAACCUGGAGCUGGAUGCGCUUCUGUUCAAGAGGCGGUAUUGUUACUGGAGCCAGGUAUUUAAACUGUAGUUAUCCCUGAAUGUCAUGUUGAGAAGGUUGCAUUGUACUUUGUGUCUGCUGGAUGGCUGAUGCUGGCAUGUUGUGACUGAAGCCAGCUCGACUGAAACUUGUAUUGMAAGUUGAACUGGAGGACCCAGAAAUGUUUUGCCUUCUUGAGUUUUCCCUUCUGAGAAUACCAGACCCUGCUGCGUGAGAAUGUAUUUUUAUARGAAUAAAUUUGCAUUUACCAUCA
Long non-coding RNA from Apteryx owenii (little spotted kiwi), 911 nucleotides. Lineage: Eukaryota; Metazoa; Chordata; Aves; Apterygiformes; Apterygidae. The record is from Ensembl.